Molecule: ribosomal RNA, 790 nt
Filed under: uncultured Serratia sp.
Lineage: Bacteria; Pseudomonadati; Pseudomonadota; Gammaproteobacteria; Enterobacterales; Yersiniaceae
Description: bacterial SSU rRNA
Rfam family: Bacterial small subunit ribosomal RNA
Source: RNAcentral
AUUAGAGUUUGAUCCUGGCUCAGAUUGAACGCUGGCGGCAGGCUUAACACAUGCAAGUCGAGCGGUAGCACAAGAGAGCUUGCUCUCUGGGUGACGAGCGGCGGACGGGUGAGUAAUGUCUGGGAAACUGCCUGAUGGAGGGGGAUAACUACUGGAAACGGUAGCUAAUACCGCAUAACGUCGCAAGACCAAAGAGGGGGACCUUCGGGCCUCUUGCCAUCAGAUGUGCCCAGAUGGGAUUAGCUAGUAGGUGGGGUAAUGGCUCACCUAGGCGACGAUCCCUAGCUGGUCUGAGAGGAUGACCAGCCACACUGGAACUGAGACACGGUCCAGACUCCUACGGGAGGCAGCAGUGGGGAAUAUUGCACAAUGGGCGCAAGCCUGAUGCAGCCAUGCCGCGUGUGUGAAGAAGGCCUUCGGGUUGUAAAGCACUUUCAGCGAGGAGGAAGGUGGUGAGCUUAAUACGCUCAUCAAUUGACGUUACUCGCAGAAGAAGCACCGGCUAACUCCGUGCCAGCAGCCGCGGUAAUACGGAGGGUGCAAGCGUUAAUCGGAAUUACUGGGCGUAAAGCGCACGCAGGCGGUUUGUUAAGUCAGAUGUGAAAUCCCCGGGCUCAACCUGGGAACUGCAUUUGAAACUGGCAAGCUAGAGUCUCGUAGAGGGGGGUAGAAUUCCAGGUGUAGCGGUGAAAUGCGUAGAGAUCUGGAGGAAUACCGGUGGCGAAGGCGGCCCCCUGGACGAAGACUGACGCUCANGUGCGAAAGCGUGNGGAGCAAACAGGAUUAGAUA